This 468-nucleotide ribosomal RNA is filed under the name uncultured bacterium. Its description in RNAcentral is "partial 16S ribosomal RNA". It matches the Rfam family "Bacterial small subunit ribosomal RNA", at positions 28 to 507 of the family's 1533-position model. The record is from RNAcentral.
GACGAACGCUGGCGGCGUGCUUAACACAUGCAAGUCGAACGGAAAGGCCCUGCUUUUGUGGGGUUCUCGAGUGGCGAACGGGUGAGUAACACGUGAGUAACCUGCCCUUGACUUUGGGAUAACUUCAGGAAACUGGGGCUAAUACCGGAUAGGAGCUCCUGCUGCAUGGUGGGGGUUGGAAAGUUUCGGCGGUUGGGGAUGGACUCGCGGCUUAUCAGCUUGUUGGUGGGGUAGUGGCUUACCAAGGCUUUGACGGGUAGCCGGCCUGAGAGGGUGACCGGCCACAUUGGGACUGAGAUACGGCCCAGACUCCUACGGGAGGCAGCAGUGGGGAAUAUUGCACAAUGGGCGGAAGCCUGAUGCAGCAACGCCGCGUGCGGGAUGACGGCUUUCGGGUUGUAAACCGCUUUCGCCUGUGACGAAGCGUGAGUGACGGUAAUGGGUAAAGAAGCACCGGCUAACUACGUG